GUUGGACGCACCUCUAGUGUACCAGUUAUCGUGCCAACGGUAGCGCUGGGUAGCUACGUGCGGAAGGGAGAAACGCUGAAGGCAUCUAAGCGUGAAACCCUCCCCGAGAUGAGAUCUCCCGAGCCGUAAGGCUCCUGAAGGCUCCUGGAAGACUACCAGGUGAUAGGCCAGAUGUGUAAGGAUGGUGACAUCCUCAGCUAACUGGUACUAAUCAGCCGUGAGGCUUGACCAU
RNAcentral lists this ribosomal RNA (232 nucleotides) under Chloroflexota bacterium. Its description in RNAcentral is "partial 23S ribosomal RNA". It matches the Rfam family "Bacterial large subunit ribosomal RNA", at positions 2696 to 2925 of the family's 2925-position model. Lineage: Bacteria; Bacillati; Chloroflexota. The record is from RNAcentral.